AGAAAGUUGUUAGAAUAGUCCUGGAUAAAAAGGAUGCUGCCUUAGUCCAUUCCUGCUGCUAUAACAAUGCUAUAAACAAUGCUAUAAACAAAUGCUGCUAUAAACAAAAUACUUCAGACCAGAUAAUUUGUAAAUUAUAGAAAAGUAUUUCUCACAGUUCUGGAGGUCAAGGUGCCGGUAGAUUUGGUGUCUGGUGAGGGCUUGCUCUCUCCUUCCAAGAUGAUACCUGGUUCCUAUACCCUCCAGAGGGGAUGCACGCUAUGUCUUCACAUGGCAGAAGGAUGAGAAGGGCCAGGCAGCUCUCUGAAGCCUCUUUUUUUGAGACGGAGUUUUGCUCGUGUUGCCGAGGCUGGAGUGCAAUGGCACAAUCUAGGCUCACUGCAACCUCCGCGUCCUAGGUUCAAGUGAUUCUCCUGCCUCAACCUCCUGAGUAGCUAGGAUUACAGGUGCCUGCCACCAUGCCCAGCUAAUUUUUGUAUUUUGAGUAGAGACGGGGUUUCACCAUGUUGGCCAGCUGGUCUUGAACUCUUGACCUCAUGUGAUCCGCCCACCUCAGCCUCCCAAAGUGCUGAGAUUACAGGCGUGAGCCACCACGCCCAGCCUCUGAAGCCUCUUUUACAAGAGCAUUAAUCCCAUUCCCAAGGGAAGAACCCUCAUGACUUAAUCAGUUCCCAAAAGGCCCCACCUGUUAAUACCACCACAAUGGGGAUUAAGUUUCAACAUGAAUUUGGAGGGACACAAACAUUCAAGCUUUAACAGAUAGGUAUUCAUCUAACUGUAUACUUUCAUGGAUGUAGUUUGCUAUUUGUAAUUUAUACCUCAAUAAAGUCGGAUUAAAACAAGAAAUAAAUGAUGGGAAUCUGAGCAAAGGCUGUGAAGGUUGAGGACCAAAGGAGGGGAAGAAAGAACUACCGAGGAGCUGGGAUCACUCAGCCUGUAAACUGUCACGGGAUAACCCAGGCUCCGGUGCCUGAGAGUCAGCCAGGUCGUUGCAUCGUCCCCUCACGAACGUGUAAGACUUCAGAGUUGGAAACAGCCUUCAGAGAAUACAUCAGUGUCCCAAAAGGAAACAGAACUCUGCUCAAAUAGUUCAACUGAAGAGACCUUACUGAGGAGGUACUAUUUACAGAAGGCUAGAUUAAAGAAACCAAGAAGAAUAUUGAGAAACCCAGAGACUGCAAACUGCUGUGUAUUAGUGUGUUGCCGCAUUGCUCUAAAUACCUGAGACUCGGUUAUUUAUAAAGAAAAGAGGCCCUGGGUGUGGUGGCUCAUGCCUGUAAUCCCAGCACUUUGAGAGGCGGAGGCAGGCAGAUCACUUGAGGUCAGGAGUUCGAGACCAGCCUGGCCAACAUGGUGAAACCCUCUCUCUACUAAAAAUACAAAAAUUAGCCAGGCAUGGUGGGGAGUGCCUGUAAUCCCAGCUCCUCAGGAGGCUGAGGUGGGAGAAUCACUUGAACCCGGGAAGUGGAGGUUGCAGCGAGCCGAGAUCAUGCCACUGCACUCCAGCCUGGGCCACAGAGCGAGACUGUGUCUCAAAAAAAAAGAAAAGAGGUUUCAUUGGCUCACAGUUCCACAGGCUGUACAGGAAGCAUGGCAGCAUCUGCUUUUGGGGAGACCUCAGGGAACUUAUAAUCAUGGCAGAAGGCAAAGCCAGAGCAGGCAUUCACAUGGCCAGAGCAGGAGGAAGAGAGAGAGGGUGGAGGUGCUACACACUUUUAAACAACCAGAUCUCAUGAGAACCCUAUCAUGAGAACAGCACUAGGGGAAUGGUGCUUAAGCAUUAAAACUGCCCUCAUGAUCCAAUUACCUCCCACCAGGCCCCACCUCCAACAAUGGGGAUUACAAUUCCACAUGAGAUUUGGGCAGGGACACAGAUCCAAACCAUAUCAUGCUGGAAACCACCCAUGGGCCUAAAGAAGGUUACUGGAGCCCAUUGAGGCCUGGAGCAGUGGGAAGGACCACUGGGCAGAAGCUAUAGCCAGGCAGAACGGCACUGGCCCAACCCUGCAUCAAAGCAGAGAGGUAGCAGAGAAGAAAUACUCUCCCACUUUCCAGCCUCCUGCCUGUGUCUCCCAGUGGCCAAAUCAUACUGGAGCCAAUAGACACAGGAACCCAUUGAUUCAUUCCACAGGGAUCAGCCUUCUGAGGCACAGAGCAAUUCUAAGAAGGAGAGACAAUGAAUUGAAGAGGACAAGUGGAGAACAACCGCAUCAUGUACUGCAAUUUCCACCCUGUUGUUUUUCCCCAGAAGAAGCCUCAGAGAGUGGAGGCAAUCUGCCAAAGGCCAUGUAGCAAGUUAGGACAGGGCCCUUAGCUCCUCUUCCUUGGGGCCCAGGCUCCUUGCACACUGGGCCUGCACCGAAGGCAGCCAGGUGGGAUGCCCCAUUGUCUUGGAGCUGCAGCUGCAGGUCCCAAUUAGCCAGAGGAAGGCAGCUGAGCAAGGGCAGCAGUGGGCAGGGCCAGGAAAGAUGAACAUCCAAGGGCUGGCCACCCACCCUCAACGUCAGGAAGGUAAUAGACACUUGCUUCCUUGUCUCAUGAUUUGCUACCUGCCCCCCUGGUCCCCAUUUCCUCUCUUGAGUCCUCCCUAGACCUGGGGACAGGAACCCAGACCUAGGAUGGGCAGGAACAAAGGGAGGAGACUCUGCUUCCCUGGUAGCCAGCGCUGCUCAUCGAUUCCCUAGAGCUGCUCACUGAUCCAGCACAAGAUGGUUUAAUUGAAGUCACUACAAUAAAUGGUGCAGAAAAGCAACACCCUUUGUCUGCCAGGAGCCUCAGAGAAAUGGGAGAGGGAGCUGGGAAAACCAGCAGCAGCAACUGCCAUUACACGAUGAUGCAAAGGGGGUGAGACUGAGGCGUCACAGAGUCCUGGGUUUGAAGCCUGACUGGUCACUUACAAGUUAUGUGACCUUAGUCAAGUCCCUUUAUCUUCCCCAGCUUCUAGGCCCUAGUCUAGGAAAAUGGGAAUAUUGUAACCUGUCCUCCCAGGCCCUGCAUGACCCUGGGCCCUGCCUGCAUCUCCAGCUCCAUCUCCCACCACCUCUCACCUCCUGUCACUCUGUGGUUACCCACGUGGGUUGCUGUUCCCUGCCAGUCCUCAUAUUUCACUCACAUGGAUCUCUCCCCUGAAAUGCCCUUCCCAUUCCUUCCUUGAGUAAUUCCUACUCACCUUUCAAGAUUCAGAUCCAGAGUCACCUCCUCCAGCAAGACUCUCUAUGCCCAGCCUUCCUUCCCCUGAGUGCCUCUAGCACACCCUGACUGUUGACAUCCAUUUGGCAUUUGACACUCCCUCUCGUGCACAGCAGUCUUUCUCUCUCCCUAUGGCUUAUCUUCUCAUGGAGAUAAACAUGGGAGCUAUAUCUUCUCUUUCUCAUCUUCACAUGCCUAAUAUAUGCCUAACAUCACAGUCGUGUUGGGGUUGGGGGUACUGAGGUGCAGAGAUUCAGAGUCCAGAGGUGGGCACAGCCAGGAUGCAGCCGGCACUGGUAGAUGAUAACUCCCAUGUAGCCACGAAGCUCCCUUCCCAGAUAGUUAGGAUGGUACGUCCACCAUAUGUUCUUGUCUUCAGCAUGGAACACAGCCUCCUCUGUGCCCAGGACCAGCUGGCUCUCUGCUCAGCUCCAUAAACUACUAUCUGAUUCAGUAUCAGAGGACAGAGGAUCCAAGUUGUGAAAUCAUAAAAUGUCAGCAUCAAACCUUCUAAUGUAGCAAAAGUGAAGUCUCAGUACCUCCAGUCUACGUCAUAAGAAGCUUUAUCAUUUCCACUUGUGUCUCUUGGGAUGCUCUCUCUCAGAAUCCAGGUGCCCUUCCAUGAGAAGCCCAAGCCAUGUGGAGAAGCCACGUCUAGGGACUCCAGUUAACACUCUCAGCUGAGUCCCCAGCUGACAGUCAGCAUCAACUGCCAGCCACCUCUGUCUAAAAGUGGGCUAUCUUGGGCAUCCAGCCCAGUCAAGCCUUCAGAUGAGUCCAGUCCCAGCCACUAUCUCACACAACCACACGAGAGACAUCAAGAACUCCCAGUGGAGUCCAGUCAGCCCAUGGAACUGUAAGAGACAGGAUCUCGCUGCGUUGCUCAGACUGGUCUCGAACUCCUGGGCUUAAGGGAUUCUCCUGCCUCAAUCACAGCCUCCCAAGUAGCUGAGAUUACAAGUGCUCACCACCGUGCCAGCGAGUUCAGUUUUUGAGGGUGGAGCCAAGACUCUGAGGAGAGGGCUGAACUGUGAACCUAGAAGUACCAUCUCCCCCUGCACACACCUUUGGUCAAGUUGACCCCAAGAAGAAGGACAAGUCCUCUGCACGGCGAUGAGGCCAUACACACAGUCUGUGGCCCGGCUUUGGGAGACUGAUGGGACAAAGGAUGUUUUGCACGAUCCUUGGUCUCUGAGCAAAUAUAUACAUGGGUUAACACAAA
This is a long non-coding RNA of Pan troglodytes (chimpanzee), 4411 nucleotides long. RefSeq lists it as uncharacterized. NCBI's taxonomy places the organism in Eukaryota, Metazoa, Chordata, Mammalia, Primates, Hominidae. The transcript is spliced from 3 exons. The record is from RefSeq and is a predicted model, not a curated record.